This is a small nuclear RNA of Thamnophis elegans (Western terrestrial garter snake), 146 nucleotides long. RefSeq annotates it as U4 spliceosomal RNA. NCBI's taxonomy places the organism in Eukaryota, Metazoa, Chordata, Lepidosauria, Squamata, Natricidae. The transcript has a single exon. The record is from RefSeq and is a predicted model, not a curated record.
AGCUUUGCGCAGUGGCAGCAUCAUAGCUAAUGAGGUUUAUCUGAGGCGUGAUUAUUGCUAAUUGAAUUGAAACUUUAUUUACUUCUACUGUGGGCCUCUGACUUUGCUGUAAUACAAGUAAUUCUUUUCUUAUAGCUGUUUCCAGA